GAUGUUCUCCUGCAGCAGAUCUGAGGAGACAGAGACCCCAGCAGUUGGCCCGAGAAGCUCCCACCUGCACCUCCAGCAUCAACAGGCAGACAGAGCACUCCUGUGAGAGGGGACAAGUGCUUUUACUGUUUAGAACAUGCAUGAGAAGACAUAGCAGGAGGAGAGCAAACAUGACACCAACUUUUUUCAUUUCUUAGCCCUUUUGAUCUAUGUUACAGCUGAAGAUACAGAUGAAAAUUAAGGCUGAGCUAUCUGAUAUCCUGGUAUCUGUUGGGCACUUUUAAUCUGUUGGGAAUUUUAAUCGUUAGAUAUUUUACUUCUGAUUAUGUGAACAUAUACAAUUUAAUGAUUAAA
This 354-nucleotide long non-coding RNA is filed under the name Homo sapiens (human). RNAcentral describes it as "HSALNT0238645". Lineage: Eukaryota; Metazoa; Chordata; Mammalia; Primates; Hominidae. The record is from RNAcentral.